UACAGAGACUGCAAGCGUUAUUCGGAUUCACUGGGCGUAAAGGGUGCGCAGGCGGUCGUGUGUGUCAGAUGUGAAAUCCCGGAGCUUAACUCCGGAACUGCGUCUGAAACUACAUGACUAGAGCAUUGGAGAGGGAAGUGGAAUUCAUGGUGUAGCAGUGAAAUGCGUAGAUAUCAUGAGGAACACCAGAGGCGAAGGCGAGUCUCUGGACAGUUACUGACACUGAGGCACGAAGGCCAGGGGAGCAAACGGG
Molecule: ribosomal RNA, 253 nt
Filed under: uncultured bacterium
Lineage: Bacteria
Description: partial 16S ribosomal RNA
Rfam family: Bacterial small subunit ribosomal RNA
Source: RNAcentral